Molecule: long non-coding RNA, 1203 nt
Organism: Arvicanthis niloticus (Nile rat)
Lineage: Eukaryota; Metazoa; Chordata; Mammalia; Rodentia; Muridae
Source: RefSeq, a predicted model, not a curated record
GCUUCAUCUGGUGACCUUCAGUUGAAGGGCUCUCAGACAGCAAGACAUCAGAGACCAACCUCUCCUGGAGCUUUAGUGAGGCAAAGAAGCAAUGUUCUUGUAGAGCUGAGUGGAAGACCCACGUGGCCACGGUUUCCACUGCACGGCCUCCCCCAGAUGUCCUUGGAGCCAGAAGAGGACAUUGGACCCUCUGGAGCUGGAGUUAGACCAUUGUGAGCUGAAAACUGAAGGAUUCUCUCCAAGCAGCAAGUGCUUGUAACUGCCAGUCAUUUCUCCAGCACCGUGUGUGGCGUUUCUGUUGUAUUUCCUACAAAAUGGGAAUGCACCAUGUGACAUGCUUGCCAACCCAGCUAGUCAGGAAACAAGCAGUCUCUCAAGGGUGGCUGAGCGCUGCGUGAUCUGUAUGCAUGUGUGAACCCUCGGAUGAGAGGGAACACACGGAGAGGGGACAGAGCCGGCUAGCAAGGGAUGACGUUCUGCCAGCUCGUGUCACGCUAGCUCCAUAUUCUGUUCAUGUGAGUCUCACUCAGCCUGUACUCCAGUCCCUGGCUCAAGGAAAGUCCAGACUGACGUAGAAAAUCCUUGCUCACCAGCCUUGACCUUGGGAGAAAGCCCCUGACCUCUGAGCGGACAGAAGGCCUGGUGGUCAGCCUGUGGGAGCCCUGGAGCGCGCACUGCUGGAACAGCUCAAAAAAAAAAAACAAAAACAAAACAAAAAAAAACUCUGGAAGCCAAGACUUGUCAGGCCUGAGAAUUAGAACAUGCCUACUAAAUUUCGGCCCACUCUGAGGAAAGGGAGGGGCCGCAAGGAAACCUGGUGGGUGGGGGGGGGGUCUGGAGUUCCCAGGACAGAUGCCCAGGUCCCAGCUUAUAGGCCAUGAUGUGGCAGGGCUGCCAUGUCUGAUUCUUAAACAGACUCUCCCUUGCUUAGCCAAGAGGAAUGAAGUAGUAUUAGAAUUGUAAAAGUCUGUGGCCUUUGACAGAGUAUUUCACUUCUAAGAAUCUCCUCCACAGAGAAGAGUGCACAUUGUUCCCAGUGGAGCCUAUAAAGACAGCAACAGAGCAAGACUUAAAACAAAAUGGCUCUGGGUCUCAAAGUGUUGUGUAUCUGGACAAUGAACUGUCCAUCUUUAAACAAAUAAGCCUCACACGCACUGCAGUGGUGGCAGCUCCAAAUGUGUUAGGUUUAAAAAAAUAAAACAA